RNAcentral lists this ribosomal RNA (478 nucleotides) under uncultured bacterium. Its description in RNAcentral is "partial 16S ribosomal RNA". It matches the Rfam family "Bacterial small subunit ribosomal RNA", at positions 28 to 523 of the family's 1533-position model. The record is from RNAcentral.
GACGAACGCUGGCGGCGUGCUUAACACAUGCAAGUCGAACGGUAAGGCCCUUCGGGGUACACGAGUGGCGAACGGGUGAGUAACACGUGGGUGAUCUGCCCUGCACUUCGGGAUAAGCCUGGGAAACUGGGUCUAAUACCGGAUAGGACCACUGCCUGCAUGGGUGGUGGUGGAAAGCUUUUGCGGUGUGGGAUGGGCCCGCGGCCUAUCAGCUUGUUGGUGGGGUGAUGGCCUACCAAGGCGACGCCGGGUAGCCGGCCUGAGAGGGUGACCGGCCAAACUGGGACUGAGAUACGGCCCAGACUCCUACGGGAGGCAGCAGUGGGGAAUAUUGCACAAUGGGCGCAAGCCUGAUGCAGCGACGCCGCGUGAGGGAUGACGGCCUUCGGGUUGUAAACCUCUUUCAGCACCGACGAAGCGCAAGUGACGGUAGGUGCAGAAGAAGGACCGGCCAACUACGAGCCAGCCGCCGCCGUAA